RNAcentral lists this long non-coding RNA (955 nucleotides) under Populus tremula. RNAcentral describes it as "long non-coding RNA (PTRE_LNC002535)". Lineage: Eukaryota; Viridiplantae; Streptophyta; Magnoliopsida; Malpighiales; Salicaceae. The record is from RNAcentral.
UUCGUCCGUUACUCUCUUGAAUAGCUGGGGCUUUUUCAAGAGUUCUGACAUCGACCAAUCCCCCAUUGUAGCAGCGGUGUCUGUUCCUCCAGCAAUCAGGUCCUAGCCAUCAACAUGAACAACAACCAUAAAUAUUUUGUUUUUUGUUUCUGACAUCUUCUUCUUAUUUUGGCAAUAAAGCAAGUCUUUGAAAGCUAAUUCGAUGUUUUUAAGAUGGUCUCAAUAAUUGGCUAGUGGUCAACAGUUACUGCUAUCUAUUUUCCACUUUAGCUCGCGCGGGUGCCAGUAGCUGUCAAGAUGCUGCUUCUUUGAGGAUCAAUUGAUGUGCAAAUUAACCCCAAAUUAAGCUCGCAAUCUUUAACCAAUCUCUCGUUGAGUUCUUUAAAAAAAAUUCUCUCGUUUAGAUUUUCAAAAGUUCUCAUCUUGUGCAUGUACUCUUCAGAAGUGUUUCCACACAAAACAUCAAUCUCCAUACAAAAUAACGUUAUUUGAAAUUUUCCCUAAAUUUAUUGCUCACUCUACGGUCUUGAAACUCAUUAGCGCAUGAAAAAUCGACACAGAAACAGUAAGAUGGCAGGAAGAUUAGGUAGAUUCCUGCUUAUCCCCGUCAAAUCACAGUUUGUACGAAAUAGAGACGACCAUGUGAUUAAAAAAGUGAAGGAUUUUCUCUCUGUUUUAGAAAACGAGAUUACUUUUGAAUUAUGAAUUAUAAGAAAACAAAACAAAAAGAAGAGGAAAAAAUAGAUAAGAGUGGAGAGAGACAAUUAAAAGAAAAAAAAAAUAUAUAUAUAUAUAAGAAAAAAACCUGUGUCAGCCCCUUGAUGUUGUCUUUAGUUAGCUUAACUUCAAGCUCAGGGUCAUCAGCAAGCUGCAAGAGCAGAUCCACCAUGUCUUUGGGCUGCCAAUUUUUGGUUGCUUUUCUCUUUGCGUUGUGUUCAUCAAUGACAUGGUCAUG